CCCGAUUUUGUUUUUUGUCCAUAGAUUUACGAUUUUUGAACAUCGGUAUACUACUGUUGCCUUUAUUUUUUAAUAACAGGAAAAACAAGACGGAAGCCACAUAUGGAGAAUGAUCUGCUUACCCUUCCGGAGCACAUGAGAUCACCCCCAGAUUUUUGUGGGUUUGUUUUGCUCAGUCUUGAGUUUUCUAUGUUGCUGUUUGUAUACUAUUUUUUGUCUUUUUCUUGUUUAACCAUGGCUUCGUCUGUUUGUUUUCG
This 257-nucleotide long non-coding RNA is filed under the name Mytilus galloprovincialis (Mediterranean mussel). The record is from RNAcentral. Lineage: Eukaryota; Metazoa; Mollusca; Bivalvia; Mytilida; Mytilidae.